Molecule: RNA transcript, 1687 nt
Organism: Gossypium raimondii (Peruvian cotton)
Lineage: Eukaryota; Viridiplantae; Streptophyta; Magnoliopsida; Malvales; Malvaceae
Gene name: homogentisate solanesyltransferase, chloroplastic
Exons: 10
Source: RefSeq, a predicted model, not a curated record
GCUCCGAAGGAGCAGUUUUUCCUUUUAACUAUUUCGAAAGCAUAUGGUUGCAAAAAUUAUAUAAUCUAUUGCUGAUAAGUGUAAAUUACAAAACUUUGAUGGUUAGGAAAGAAAAUAAGUGGAAAACUAACAAAGGGCACAACUGCAAAAUCAUGAACCUUUGAAGACCAGAAAUUUGAUUCUUGGUUGUCCGAACUCCAGACUUUUUUCCCCCCUUUCUUCCCUGUCUCUACAGCUUUCUUUAUUUGGGUUCUACUGUAUGGAGCUCUCACUCUCCCACUGUUCUUUCCUUGGAAUUUCAGCUGUAAAUCCUCAUUGCAAGGCCUCAUCUUGUCACCCCAAGGCAAUACCCAGUAAGCUCAAUGCCAAGCAUUUUGAUUUGUCUUUGAAAUGCUCCAAAUAUGGUGUUUCAGUUGGGCUUUACGAUUAUUCAAGUUGCUCAAAACAUGUUCCAUCUAGGAAAUUCAAGCGUAAUUCAAUCCGGGCUUGCAGUCAAGUUGGUGCUGCUGGGUCUGAUCCAAUGCUGAACAAGAUUUCGUCUUUCAGAGAUGCGUGCUGGAGGUUUUUAAGGCCCCAUACUAUACGUGGAACGGCCCUAGGAUCAGCUGCUUUGGUGGGAAGAGCAUUAAUUGAGAACUCAAAUUUGAUCAAGUGGUCCCUGGUGCUGAAGGCAUUCUCCGGUCUUAUAGCUCUAAUAUGUGGAAAUGGUUAUAUAGUUGGCAUCAAUCAGAUCUAUGAUAUUGGCAUUGACAAGGUAAAUAAACCCUACUUACCCAUAGCUGCAGGGGAUCUCUCAGUUCAAUCAGCAUGGUUCUUGGUGAUAUUUUUUGCAGUGACUGGCCUUCUGAUUGUUGGAUACAACUUUGGCCCAUUUAUCACAUCGCUUUACUCACUUGGUCUUUUCCUGGGCACUAUCUAUUCAGUUCCUCCAUUUAGAAUGAAGAGAUUUCCUGUUGCAGCAUUUCUAAUAAUUGCCACGGUGAGGGGUUUCCUUCUCAAUUUUGGGGUGUACUAUGCUACAAGAGCUGCUCUUGGACUUCCAUUUCAGUGGAGUGCACCCGUGGCAUUUAUCACUACUUUUGUAACAUUGUUUGCACUUGUUAUUGCCAUAACCAAGGAUCUUCCAGAUGUAGAAGGAGAUCGCAAAUUUCAAAUAUCAACAUUAGCAACAAAGCUUGGAGUUAGAAAUAUUGCAUUUCUUGGUUCCGGACUUCUACUGGUGAAUUAUGUUGCUGCUGUGUUGGCUGCAAUAUACAUGCCUCAGAUUGUUUUGAUUUCUUUACAUCUAUCUUCAAGGGAGAUUAUCGAAAAUAGUAAAUUCUUCAAUUGCAUAUGUUACAGGCUUUCAGGCGUAGUUUAAUGAUACCUGCUCAUAUCUUUUUGGCGGUCUGCUUGAUUUUUCAGGCAUGGGUGUUGGAACAAGCAAAUUACAAAAAGGAAGCAAUCUCGGGGUUCUAUCGUUUCAUAUGGAAUCUCUUCUAUGCAGAGUAUACGAUUUUCCCCUUCGUGUAGAAUCCUAAUCUCCACCCUCCAUACUUUUUGUUUUGCAAAUUUUUAUUUUCACAGAGGGAGAGUAGUUACGUGAGUAUCUAUAUGAAUUCCCAUCUAAUAUUCAUUGCAUCUUUUAAUAACGCUACCUUGAAUUAGUUCUUAUGCAAAUAAAUAAAUAAAUUCAAUAGAAAACAAA